AACGCUGGCGGCAGGCUUAACACAUGCAAGUCGAGCGGGCGUAGCAAUACGUCAGCGGCAGACGGGUGAGUAACGCGUGGGAACGUACCUUUUGGUUCGGAACAACACAGGGAAACUUGUGCUAAUACCGGAUAAGCCCUUACGGGGAAAGAUUUAUCGCCGAAAGAUCGGCCCGCGUCUGAUUAGCUAGUUGGUGGGGUAACGGCCUACCAAGGCGACGAUCAGUAGCUGGUCUGAGAGGAUGAUCAGCCACAUUGGGACUGAGACACGGCCCAAACUCCUACGGGAGGCAGCAGUGGGGAAUAUUGGACAAUGGGGGCAACCCUGAUCCAGCCAUGCCGCGUGAGUGAUGAAGGCCCUAGGGUUGUAAAGCUCUUUUGUGCGGGAAGAUAAUGACGGUACCGCAAGAAUAAGCCCCGGCUAACUUCGUGCCAGCAGCCGCGGUAAUACGAAGGGGGCUAGCGUUGCUCGGAAUCACUGGGCGUAAAGGGUGCGUANGCGGGUUUUUAAGUCAGGGGUGAAAUCCUGGAGCUCANCUCCNGAACUGCCUUUGAUACUGAAGAUCUUGAGUCCGGGAGAGGUGAGUGGAACUGCNAG
This 597-nucleotide ribosomal RNA is filed under the name Bradyrhizobiaceae bacterium N106b. RNAcentral describes it as "bacterial SSU rRNA". It matches the Rfam family "Bacterial small subunit ribosomal RNA", at positions 32 to 673 of the family's 1533-position model. Lineage: Bacteria; Pseudomonadati; Pseudomonadota; Alphaproteobacteria; Hyphomicrobiales; Nitrobacteraceae. The record is from RNAcentral.